This 253-nucleotide ribosomal RNA is filed under the name uncultured bacterium. Its description in RNAcentral is "partial 16S ribosomal RNA". It matches the Rfam family "Bacterial small subunit ribosomal RNA", at positions 524 to 776 of the family's 1533-position model. The record is from RNAcentral.
AACGUAGGUGACAAGCGUUAUCCGGAUUUACUGGGCGUAAAGCGUGUGCAGGCGGGGGGAUAAGUGGUGUAUGAAAUCGCUCGGCUUAACCGGGCGCGGUUAUGCCAGACUGUCCUUCUGGAGCGCGAGAGAGGAGCGUGGAAUUCCGGGUGUAGUGGUGAAAUGCGUAGAGAUCCGGAGGAACCCCAGAGGCGAAGGCGGCGCUCUGGCUCGCGACUGACGCUCAGACACGACAGCAUGGGGAGCGAACGGG